UUUGACUUUUUCAUUAACUAUUGUUUGUCCUGCGUGUGUAUUAAGUGUCGGGACGGUGAGUAUAUAAAGUGCGUUUGAAAAUCACCUGCGCAGAGUGAGAUAUAAGUGUAUCGACCAGGACGAAGCGAAGAUGUCGAGUUUAUUAUGGAUUAUUUUAAUCGUUUGUUCAACGGUCGUGAUAGAAGGACGAGCAACGAGUUCUGACGCGAAAUUUGAGGCAGAGGAUUUUUACAAAAUUGAAGACAAGAUAAAGAAAAGAGAAGAUUGUCGUAUUCGUCCGGGACAAUUGUGGUGUCCAAAAAGAAGAGAAAUGGUUUUAGAUUUUUUAAUGCAAUGCCUCCAGAUCAACAUGUCAAAACAUAUGCCCUGCCGAAGCGAGCUAAUCUCUUGGAGGAUGAAGAGAAACGAUCUAACGGUUGCAAACUGCACCCUGGGUCUCUCUGGUGUGACGGAAAAAGAGAUAUUACGGCUCCCAAGUUAGCAAUGGAGGAAGACAAUUUUGCUAAAUUUAAAGACAAAUUAAAAAAGAGAGCGUGUCGUGUUCGUCCUGGAUCACUGUGGUGCGAAGGAAAGAGAGAGAUUGAAGAAGUUCCGGAAACGGGUGAGGCGGCGAACGAAUGAUCUUCCGAAAAUAGUUCCUAGAAACUUAGAUUUCUCAAACUAAUGUAUAAAUUAACGACAUACAAUCAUGCUAAAUGGAACGUUGGAAACUGUUGCUGAUUGCCCUGUCAUGUAACUCAAUGUAAUCGCAAUUCAGGCGCAUGCGCACUUGUGUAGUUGUACAAUAAAAUAUAUUCAAUAGCGUCAUUUGUCAUU
This is a long non-coding RNA of Dendronephthya gigantea, 816 nucleotides long. RefSeq lists it as uncharacterized. The record is from RefSeq and is a predicted model, not a curated record. Lineage: Eukaryota; Metazoa; Cnidaria; Anthozoa; Malacalcyonacea; Nephtheidae. The transcript has 4 exons.